CUGGAUGCCAUAUUAUCAUCAUGAUUAAACCCUUUUUGAGCGGUUUAAGCCUAAAGUUGUUGCCCACCCAACAUUUGUCCUGUCUGCAUCCUAGUCCUCCUUGGCCAUCACACGGUACAGGAAGGUUUUACUUUGGAUGCUGGUGAUAGGCUGAGAGCAUCAAAUCAUUCUGUAUUUUAUGGCGACUGGAGGAGGAGGAGACAGGACGCAGA
Non-coding RNA from Pelobates cultripes (western spadefoot toad), 212 nucleotides. NCBI's taxonomy places the organism in Eukaryota, Metazoa, Chordata, Amphibia, Anura, Pelobatidae. The record is from the annotation of a GenBank genome assembly.